Molecule: ribosomal RNA, 492 nt
Filed under: uncultured bacterium
Lineage: Bacteria
Description: partial 16S ribosomal RNA
Rfam family: Bacterial small subunit ribosomal RNA
Source: RNAcentral
AGUGAACGCUAGCGGUAGGCCUAACACAUGCAAGUCGAACGGCAGCACAGUAAGAGCUUGCUCUUACGGGUGGCGAGUGGCGGACGGGUGAGGAAUACAUCGGAAUCUACUUUUUCGUGGGGGAUAACGUAGGGAAACUUACGCUAAUACCGCAUACGACCUACGGGUGAAAGCAGGGGAUCUUCGGACCUUGCGCGAUUGAAUGAGCCGAUGUCGGAUUAGCUAGUUGGCGGGGUAAAGGCCCACCAAGGCGACGAUCCGUAGCUGGUCUGAGAGGAUGAUCAGCCACACUGGAACUGAGACACGGUCCAGACUCCUACGGGAGGCAGCAGUGGGGAAUAUUGGACAAUGGGCGCAAGCCUGAUCCAGCCAUACCGCGUGGGUGAAGAAGGCCUUCGGGUUGUAAAGCCCCUUUGUUGGGAAAGAAAAGCAGCAGGUUAAUACCCCGCUGUUCUGACGGUACCCAAAGAAUAAGCACCGGCUAACUUCGUG